AGGAGACAGUAUCAUCUAAGGAUAUCUUUGUGGGUACAAGAACAAGAAAACCUGGGCGAUCAUACAAGGCCUCAAAUGAAGAUACUACUAGUAAAAUUGCUGAAAUGGAGCAAAUUGAAAAACAAAUAAGCAUAAAUGGUGAGUAUGUUGAUGCAUUUUCAAGCGUCAUGGGUCCUGAACAUCCGGGACGUCUAAGACUAUAUGGCGCAGGAGUUACAAAGACUACUUUGAAAAAAAAGUUGGCAAUUGGGAAUCAACUUUAAGUGCAACAACUGAUGGAAUGCAUGAAAUGCAAGAGAGGAUGCAGAAAAUGGAGAAACAAAUGGAGGAACAAAAGAAAAUUGUGCGACAAGAAGUUAUUGCAGAUGUUAUUGCACAACUUAAGCAUGCGGAUUAAUUGAUCCUAACAUAUUGGCAGCAUUGUCGACUCCUUCACCAAGAGAAUCUACUUCUGUUCAAGGGGAUAAACAAGGUGACGAAAUCGAAGAAGACAAUGAAAGCAAUAGUGAAGACUUGACAUAGGAGCUGAAGUAUAUAUGGCAUGUGUUUCACCUUUUUUGAAUGCUUUAUAAUGAUUUGUACAUUUUGCUUUAAUUGAUAUUAGAAUCACGGAUCUUG
This is a long non-coding RNA of Solanum lycopersicum (tomato), 618 nucleotides long. RefSeq lists it as uncharacterized. The record is from RefSeq and is a predicted model, not a curated record. NCBI's taxonomy places the organism in Eukaryota, Viridiplantae, Streptophyta, Magnoliopsida, Solanales, Solanaceae.